UCGCCGCCUAAAACUCACCGACUUACGAAGUUUCCGAUUUCCACAAUGAUGGUAAUGCGAAUUUGACCGUUCAGAUUAACUUUAUCUAGCCGUUUAUCUCCCCUCUAAUUGUCUAUAAAUUGGAUCGCCCAGCCUUGUUCAUCAAUCAUCAGGAAGCCGGUGGUUCGGGUUGGUAUUAUUUUUCGGUGUUGCUUUUGUUAUUGGUGGUCGUGUGUCAUUGAUUUCAAUUAUUGGAUUGAGCAUAGGAAAUUCGAUGGUAUGAAUCCCCCUUGUGGAUUUUCGUGUUUUUGAAAGAACUUUGGUUUUCUCGUUCAUCCCUUGAAUUCCAACGUGAAGAUAUUAUCAUUUCCCUGCUCUGAUGAUAGAUGUAUUGGUAAUCAUUCCAACAAUCUGGGUUUAUGGUAUUUUCUCGAUUCCCGUAUUUUUGGAAGAACUUGGGUUUUCUCGUUCAUUCCUUGGAUUCUAACGUGAAGAUAUUAUGAUUUCUUGGUCUGAUGAUAGAUAUACUCUUGAAUUCUAACGUGAAGAUAUUAUGAUUUCGUGGUCUGAUGAUAGAUAUACUGGUAAUCAGUCCAAGAACCUAGGUUCAUGGUUAUUUUCUUGAUGCUCAUUAUUUGAAGCUUGGAUCUUUCUGAUAAUUCUUUGGCAGUUCUAUCCCGUUUUCCUCCGUUUUGUGGGGUUUUCUUUCUUGGUUUGUUAAUAUUAGAUAUUGUGAUUUCCUGGUCCGAUGAUCAAGCAGAUAAUCACUCAACUCUGGGUUUCUGGUAUUUUCUUGACACUCUUCUGAUGAUUCUCCAUGGGUUUUUCUUCCCUGAUUUGAUCAAGUUUGAUUUAUCGUUUAUCCCUUUAAUCCUAACUUGAAGGUGUUGUGAUUUCCUUGUCCGAGACCAUCAUUUAAAGAACCCGGGUUGCUGGUAAUUUCUUGAUACUCAUGAUUGGAACAUUGGCCUUUAUGUUUAUCCCGUUUUCCUCCGUUUUGUUGGGUUUUCUUUUUUGGUUUGGCAGAUGCUUGUGGUCGUCCAAGCUUUUAGUAAUUUUGUAUUGAUUCCAGUUACUGGAUCGAGAAUAAGAACUUAUGAUAUGAUUUGAUUAGUUACUUUUCUCUCCUGUGUAGUUCUCAUAAUUUUGCAAAAACGGGAUUUUUUUGUUUAGCACUUGAAUCCUAACUUGAAAGUAUAUAGUGUUUUCUUGAUAUCCUGACAAUAAUUUCAAGAAUCUGGGUUUCUGGUAUUUUCUUGAUAUUCAUUAUGCAAACUUGGUCUUUCUGAUUUUUCUUCUUUGGUUCAGCAGUUGCUGAUUUUGGUAUUUUGGUGGCAGUACAAGUGUUGAUAAUUUUUUAUCGAUUACUAUUAGUGGGGUGGGAAGAAGUUUUGAAGGUUUGGAGUUUUUUUCUCUGGCCGAAACUUUGGAUUUUUAUUUAUUUUUAUUUAUCCAUUGAAUCCUAAUUAUGAUUUCCUUGUAUGAUGAUGAUAAUAAUAGAUAUACUGACAUUAAUUCCAAGAAGCUUUGGAAGGAUGAGUUUUGGUGAUAUUGCAAACUGGUAUUUUCUUAAUACUAAUUAUUUUUAAUCUUGGGUUUUCAUGAGGAUUUUUUGGUGGUUUUAGCCCGUCCAUUUUGUGGCUUUCUUCCUUGCUUUUGGUGGUUUGGUGUUGGUUUUUUGGUUGGCCAUCCCAGCUAGAUACACUGACAGUUAUUUCAAGAAUCUAUAUAGAAGGAUUGGAUUUUGGUGCCAUUGCCAGGCGUGGAACUGGUAUUUCUCAAAUUAAUUUUCUUGAUACUCGUUAUUUGUAUAGUUGGAGUUUUUCAUGAUUUAUGGGUUGUUUUAGCUGCUCGUUUCCCCUCCUUUUUUGGGACCAAUCUAUUUCUGCUUGAUUUUAUUUACUUCAUCUAGAUUUUUUGCCCUGGUUUUAUUUCCUCCUGUUCAGAUUUUUUAUAGGUCCAGAUCUGUUUUAGUGAUUAAGACAUGGAGUUGUUUGGACGCAAAUUUUUGCACCUGGAAUCUAUUUAUUUGGUUUUAAGUGCAUGCGAUUUCAACUGCCAUCAGAAAAUUUAGGUGUGAACUGUUAAUUAUCAGAAAGUGGUGUUACUGGUGGGGGUGCGGUGGAGCCUACUUUUGUGAUUUUGGGUUUUUAUUUUUUAUCAUUUGACCCAUACAAAAGGCUUUCUUUGGUGUGUCUUUAUGAGUUUAUUUGGUUCUCAGGAAUUGCAUCAAGUGGUUUUCAGGAUGGUGGUGAAGCAAUUAUUUAUAUGGUUUUCGGUGGUCUUAUUGAACUAUGUUCUGUUAGUUGCAUGGAAUAUGAUCUUCACAUUUAUAAUGGGAAAACCGUUUUCUGUUGUGAUUCUUCAUCCGCUGAUGGAAGUCGUCGUGAUUAUGGAUAUUAAUAAAAAUGGGUGUAAGAUUCUCAGAUGUUUUACUUGAUUUCUUGUUCAAUGGUCUCAGCUUGUGCUUGGGGGAAUUCAGGUGGACACUGGUUAUUUUAUAAGGUGUUCUGGAGGGGAAAACCUAGUCGUCGUUUACUGCAGCCACGGCCCACGCUUACGAUGUUGAUUUGUAACCUCUCUCAGACUGUGCUCAUGUAGAGCUUUUUUUUGGGUCUUUUCAUAUAAAAUGCCUUAGGUUAUUUGAUGUUUUUUUUUCCACAUGCAGAUUCGACAAGAAGAGUAAUGUGUGAUAGGGAAACUAUUGGGUCUCAGGGUGUCAUCAAUCUAUUUGUAUUUUCUAUCCUUUUACCAUCAUUUCUUAUUCCAUUCAAUUUUCCCCCUCUUUUCAGCUUCCUGCCUUUUUCCCUUUCUGUUUGCAGAAACUGUUUAUAAAAAUUGCUGUGGUGACCAUCCGAUCUUUCAAGCUUUUGUCGGCUGUUUUGGAAACUUAAGCUGCUAAUUUCAUGGUCUUCGUUUGGUUUGUUGAAAAUACUUCCUAUCCUUUUCUAUAACCCUUGAUCCAGAUGGGUACCUACUAGAUAGGGUGGCAGACUGGCAGUUGGCAUUGAUAAGAACAGAACUCUAAGUUUGGGCAAGAUUGAUGAAAUAUUGAGCUCUUCGAAGGAACACAGUUUCGCUAAUAUCGGAGGUGCAAUGACUUGUUUUCGUAACAUUCUUUCCUAGUAUUUUUGAGCACUCGGGUUUCAAUGUUAUCAUAUUUCUAAUAUAUACUGAUCCAUUACCCUUUUUUGAGCAAGCACCCUUUAUAGUUGGAUAUGAUGUUUCUAUCUAUAUUUCCAUUUUCUUCUCUACUUCUGUAGAGAACUACCCUACGUUAGUAGACGGCGACAGUUCAAUCUACUACAACUUUUGUAGCAUUGAAAUUGCAGGAUGAUGGGAGGAUUUUUUGCACCUGCUUGUUUGUAUGAAGUUCAUUCUCUCUUUCCUUGAACUCAAAUUUUACCUUCGAUUCUGCAUUUACUAAUGGAUAAGAGUAUUCACAAUUCUGCUCGUCAGUUUUCCAUGUACAUAUCUUAUCUCUGAAGGGGUAUUAUGAGAUGAGGUCAACAGGCAGACUUAUGUUUCACUUGGUUAGAACAUCUAUUCCGAAUACUUCUACUGUUUAGGCUUAGUGUUCGUAGUGAAAGGCAGUUCUGAAGCUAAAUAAUUAUUUCCUGUGGUUUGUUUAGGAUAAUAUUUUCACAUGAUAAGUUGUACUCUUAUAUUUCUAAAUAAUUUAGGUAUUCGCAGAUGAUAUUUGGGUGGACAGUGACACCAUAUGGAGAAGGGGCACGAAAUUUUCAACUCAUGUUUUUGAUCUUCAGUGAUAGUAGCAUUUGUUGUCCCCUUUGAGACGAUGGUGUUCUGUCGUGGUAACCUCUUCACGCUCGACUUUUUUUCGCUAUAAGUAGAUUUUUAUCCUUGUUUAUUUCCUCUCCCUCAGAUUCUUCUUUUUUUAGGUUGAGUUCAGUUUUCAGUGUCUGGAUUCUGCGUAGAUUAAUUUCAAAAUGCACACAACCUUGACUCUGAUUGGCAAAUUAGUCUUGUUUAGUGUAUAGUGGUGUUGCAGGUUGUGGUGAUUUGGAACCCACUCCUUCGAUCUGUUUUGCUAAGAAUGGAGUUUUAGUCCUCUGGUAUUUCAGUGUCUUGAUUGUGCAUAGAUUAAUUUCAAAAUGCACACAAGCUUGAUUCUGAUUGGCAAAUUAUGUCUUGUUUAGUGUAUAGUGGUGUUGCAGGUUGUGGUGAUUUGGAACCCACUCCUUUGAUCUUUUCUGCUAAGAAUGGAGUUUUAGUCCUCUGGUACCAUUUCUGUCAUUUGAUCCUAACAGAAGGCUUCCUUUGGUAGUUUUAUACAUUGCUUUAUUCCUUAGGAAUUUGCAGUUUUAAGCGGUUGAUGGUGGGGAAAACAACGCCGUUAAUUGUUUGCUGUGGUUUGUUAUAAAUGACGUUUCUGUGAGUUGAUUGGAAUAUAAUCUUCACAUACAUAUUGGUACAGAAUCUGGUUUCCUUUGGUGUUUCAUCCACAGCUGGAAAUCGUUUUGGUCAAAUAAAAAUGGAUAUUUACGGAAUAAACGGUGUAAGAUUUUCCUUUCUUUUUCUUCACUCAUUUCUGGUUCAUCAGUCUCAGUUGUGUAUUGGGGGAGUUCAUGUGGAGUUUGAUCAGUUUACAAAGACCAAGGCCAUGUUAAGGGGAACUUAUUCAUUGUUCACUGCAGCUACAUGUGUAUUGGUAAAUUGUAAUCUUUCUUAGUCUUUGCUCUAACAUGAAAUGGAAUCUAGUUUUUUUAGUCUUUUAAAUCACCUUAGGUUCUCUGAUGUGCUUCUGCAUUUGCUGAUAGAUUCGACUGGAAGAGGAUGACACAUGUAACUGAUAAGGUGUUAAGUUUAUGUGUGGUGUUAGUUUAUGAUUUUGUUGGCCUUUGUACCUAUAGUUUGUUCUUGUAGACAAGGCCUUCAACUUGAAAGGAAGGAAUUCAUUUGAACUUAUUGGGGCACCUGCAUGGGUCAGGAAUAGUAAAGUGGUUUUCAGGACAGUGGAGCCAAUAUUGUUAAUUUUUUGUUGUGGUUUGUUUUAAUGAUAUAUUUUUAAGAGUUGUUUGGAAUGUGAUUCUCACUUCAUAUUGGUACAGAAUCUGGUUUUCUUUGGUGCUUUUUCAUCCACAGCUGGAAAUCCUUUGGUCAAAUAAUAUUCGAUUCUUAUGGAGGAAAGGGUGUAAAAUUCUUCUCUUUUCUUUGCUCAUUUCUGGUUCAUCAGUUUCAGUGUGUGCAUUGGGGUUGUUUAUGUGGAGUCUGAUCAUUUUACAAGGUCUGAGCUGUGAAGGGAAACUAUUUUGCGGCUACAUUCACAUUGGCGAUUACAUCUAUCUUUGCUCUACAUGAACUGGAAUCUGGACUCUCUUCAGUUUAGUAUAAAAUGCCUUAAGGUUUUUGAUGUUCCUCCGUGUGCAGUUAGCUUUGAUGGGGAGAGGAUGACACAUGAAUCAGGUAACUAAUAAGGUGUUAGCUUUGUGUGUGUUGGUUUAUGAAUUAGGUAGUUCUCUCUGCAUUUCUGGACCUUCAACUUGCAAGGAAAGAAUUCGUUGGAACAAACUUCUUGUCAGGGAUCUUCUUGUUGGAUAGAUGAAACAACAUACUAUUUAUAAAAGAUUAAGCUCCCUCGAUACUGUCCAUCUGUUUGAAAUUAUCAAUAGUUGUAGUUAUAUCAUGAAUUGUCCUCUAUAUUAAAGUCUGGCAUUGUACUGCACAGGAAUUUCCAAUAUAGCUUGAUGACAGUUCCUUGGGGUCUUCUUGGAUGUUCAGUUAUAUAAAGAUUGGUCACCAGUUGGUAACUUCCAUGCUAUGGUACUGAUAUGCACAAUGAAAAAAUUGAUUGAUUGCAUGGUAAUUUUCUAUACUGCACAUAAAUCCUUUCAUGUCAUAAUCAGAUGAUGGGUUCUUUGGACUGUUGCUUACGGGUACGGCUAUCGGGCACUAGUUCAUAUCUAAGUGUCGAAUUUUUUAUUUUCUAAAAUAUAGGAUGCAGGAACAUUUUUAAAGAGAGUCCAAAUUUCAGAUACGGAUACGUGGGUAUGUCUUUAAUAAUUCAAUUUUUUUACAAUCUAAAAUGUAAUUUUGAAUAGACCAAAAUUAUUCACAAAGAAGGAAAUAAAUAUUGAAUAAGAGGUUAAAACGAAUAAAAUAGAAUUGUGAGACAUAGUUUUCAAUUAUGAGAAUUACUAAAUGUUAUAUAAAAUAGAAAAUGAAGAAUUUGAUUGUAAUUUGGACUUCGUGAAGCAGUAAUUAGCACUAUAUUAAACUUAUUUUUAUUUUAUACAAACUAAACCUUAAAUUACCAUUAUAGAGAGAUAAAGAAGGAAAAGGAAGAAAUUGGAAAGAAAAAAUAAAUAAGAAGAAGAAGGAAGGAAAAGAAAAGGGAAAAAGUAAAGGAAAAAAAAGAAGAAGAAGCAAAAACGAUGAAGCGUUCGGUUGAAAUUUGGAGGAUCUGAUACAUAUUUCAUACCCUUACCCAUGUUGUGACGUAUCCGACACGGGUAUUUCAACUAUUUUGAAUAGUCUUGAGCAUCAGAGGCAAUUACUACAACCCUAUUUUCAACUGGCGUGUGGUCUUUAUACGUAUGCCUUGGUUUUGGUUAAUGUUAAUAUUUAAAGGUUUUAAUUAAUUUUUCUUUUUUGUAUAUCUAUCCAAUGAAGGUGUAAAAAAAAGAAUCGAAUAGAAUAGGUCCUUUCUAUUUUUUUUUUAAAUUUAUUAUUAUUAUUAUUGGGAUCUUGAAAGAAGUUUGUUGAUAUUUUUUAUUAUGGCCCCGUUUAGUACACAUUAAUGUAAAAAUGAGAAUGAAAAAUAUAGUCGUUACGGGCUCCACACAAGAGAUAGAAAGUCAAAUAUGGUGGCUUGAUGUGACGGAUAAAGGUCAUAUUUUUCAUUUUAAUGGGCAAAUAAUGAGAAACAAACGGGGACUAAAUCUUUUUGCUCCUUGAUUUUCCAGGGGAAAAAAUUUAUUGUCAUUAGAAAAUUAUUUAUUGAUUUUUUUGUUGUUGAUUAGUUUGUCAUGAACUUAUGGGGAUUUGUUCUAUAUAGAAUGCAGAUAUAAAAUCCAGGUGUAACGAUAUCAGAGUGGAUUAUUGAGGUUAUGCACUUCUAUGCGUUACUAAAAUUCAGUGCAAUUAGUUAAGCUAAGCUAGAAACGCUUGAAUUAUAUCACUUCACUGCUGUCUUGCUCUGAUAUUUUAUUUGAUCUUUCCCUUCAGUGUUUUGCUAGAUCUGUGCCACCUUCUGCUAGUAAGUUGAAGUUCUUUUGUCUCUACCUUCAUUUAUGUAAUUGAGCAUAUCAGAAUGAUAGUUGGAUGUUAAAUGAUCUAAAGGUCGGAUGAAUGAAGUAAACAUCAAGGCUCCGGAAAAAAAACGUUGUGUCGUACCUUCAAUUUCAAGAUGAUAGAAUUAGGGGAGGAUUUAUCAGAUUCUGAAUUUCCCCAUUUUCUUGGAAGUUCCGUGGUAAAAUAAAAUACCAUGGAGUUUAAAUAUCUUGAAGAAAUGAACAAAGUCUUGGGUGCUUUUGCAGUUAGUUUGGUUGAAUGAUCAAAAUCUAGUAGAUAUCUGAUGUUACAAAUUUGAAGUGCUCCUCAUUUGUUCACACACUUUUUGCUUCCGAGGUCAGUGACAUGAUCUUAGAUGGCUGUUGGGGAUGAAGUUAGAUAUUUUCUUUCCCGUUGGAUAUCAUUCUACUCUUUACUGUUAUCCUUCUUGUCCGUGGAUCCCGUGUCCGUCAGUAGUUCAUAAAGUUUUUGAUGGAGAGACUGCAUUGAAUGAGCAUGGAUCUGUAAUAGUUUCCCGGUUAUGAUGUUUUUGAGCAUCACUUUAUGCAGGUGACUUGUCCACUAAAUGUUAGUCAUAAUUGGAUUUUGUUACUUCAUGUUGUGAACAAUUUCUUUCAGGUCAUGGGUAUUCUGUGAUGGUGUAGUUGUGAGGUUGAUUACUGAGGCUGAACUAGCAAAACUUGGUUGCAGGCUCAUGUGGUUCUAUGCUGGUUAAUUCAAUGAUCAUUUUCCCCUUUUCUUUAAGGUGUUGGUAACCUCUCAGGGUGGUGGUGUGCUAGCUGCUGGAUGACGCGUCUUCCCUGGGUGACGACUGAAAGUUCGUUGCAGGUUCUCUGGAUUUAUCUGCUUUGUUUGAUCUUGUUUUCAAUUCAAUGAUUCUUCAUUUCAUCUUUGUUGAAGAUAUACAAACCAAAUUCAAUUGUUUUCAAAAAAGAUGCUACUGAUGCAGCACUGGAGAUUUAUGAUUCUUAAGGAUUUUGAAAAAGGCAGAUUGGCUUCUUUCGCUUGUGGCAUAUUCUAUUUUUAAUAAUGUGAUUGACUUUGCAUCUCUUCCUUGCACGAUUGAAUUUGCAGUUCUGCAAGGCUUCAUGGUGAUAUUCGUGAGUUGAAAUUUCUGCCUGGAUGUUUUC
RNAcentral lists this long non-coding RNA (8363 nucleotides) under Olea europaea subsp. europaea. The record is from RNAcentral. Lineage: Eukaryota; Viridiplantae; Streptophyta; Magnoliopsida; Lamiales; Oleaceae.